UGGGGCGUAGGGGGGGGGGGACCUGGCCGGAUGGUUGGGCAGCAGGGCUUUUCCCCGGGCCGAGGAACCACAUACUAAAUUCUCCCCGGGUGAUCCACCAGCGCAUUUGGAGGCCCAAGAGACAGGGGCAGCCCCGCCCUUUACGCGGGUGAGGCUUCCACGCCUGGUGAGGUCAGGGAGAAAACCCUCGUCGCUUGGUCUCGCGAACGAGAGGUGGCGGCGACCAGAUCGAGAACUCCUCCGCCGUCCAGCGCUCCGCCCUUCUUCGUCCAACGCUCCACUGUCCCCCGGCCCUCCUCCGGCAACCGGAAGCGGCGCACCCCCCAUCUCCCUCCACCUCUACACUCCGCGCCUCUGGCGGGGGCGACGGCGACCGAGGUAUGUCUCAAUGCAUGCGAGAGCUUUAAGUAUAACCAUCCAAGCACAACGGUAUGUCUCAGUGCUUUGUUAUCUUGAUAAGUGAUCUCUCUUGUUUAAUGAAUAUAAUUUAUCUUCUGUUUUUUGGACGUAGGUUUGUAAUGAAAAAGUAGAGGAUUUUUUUUCUUUUCUAAUGGAAUGGUCUGUCCUAUGCGACAAGUACGUCCAUAAAAAUAAUGGUGAUGCCUCAACUAGUUUGUUCGAGGAUGAAGGGGAAGACCAUGAACCUAGAAAAAGCAAGCAUGUCGUAGAGAAACUUAGUGCGAUCUGCUAUGGUGGCGCUCACAGAAAAAAAAUGCAUAUACUUUAAGAGACAAAUGAAAUGUGGCAGGGAGGGUGUCUAAAGGAAAUGGCCAUGCUUUAACUAUGGAAAGAGAAGGCUUGGAAUUUCAUUUUGGAGGGUUUUUUAUAUUGAUUGUUCUUGUUCAGGGAUGCAGAUGGAAAAGCACGAAGCCUCGCUUCAGGACAAAGCGGCGUGGGGAGCUGCGACGCAUCGCUUGGGGCUGAUCCUUCCGGUUGAGGCCUCGAAUGCUGAACGGCGUGGUUCCCAAAGAUUGAAGCAAACAUGGAUGAAAUUCACUGUGGCGUCCUGUAGGUUGUUUGGUCGUUUAAGCUUUCCUCGUGCUUCCGCUGAGCUGUAGGACUGGGUAACCAUGUUGGCUUUACCCUGAGAACCUGAAUGUUUAUGAACCUUUGUUCCAUUGCAUCAUUGGCUGCAUGGAACAAGGAGUUCUGCUCCUAUCUUCCUAAAAAGGGGAUACAGCUAAGUGGAAACCGAUGGGUUUGCUUACCCAGGGUGUCCAACUGUCGGAUCAGCCGGACAAGAUCUCGUGGCUUUGGACAGCUGAUGGCUCUUACACGGCGGCAUCUGCGUACAAGAUUCAGUUCAUGGGAAGUACAUCCUCAAACCUGGAGGAGCUCAUCUGGAAAACUCCAGUACCGGCAAAGCAGAAGCUCUCGGCUUGGAUGUGUAUUUCAAGAUCGCUGUCUGACAGCGGAUAAGCUCGCCAAGAGGGGCUGGCAGCAUAAAUGGUCUGCGGCGAUUACCCUGGUUUGUUGGUUCAUUUGGACUGUGCGGAUCUUUGAUGGGGUGGCCUGCAGCGCUGCUCGGGUAAUGUGCGAGAGUGAGGAAGAACUGUCGGAAUGGGGAAGCGCCCGGAUCAGCGGUGCGCUAUUACUGUCGCAUAUUCAUCCAUGAUGCACACAAUAUGGUCUGAUUGCCUGAGAAGAUGCCGUUGAAAGGAGCUACUCAGAGUUAGGUGGAAACCUCCGUGAGCUCCUACUCAAUGCUACUAGUGUUUCCUUGAUUAGCCUUUAGCCUAGGUUUUUCCCCAUGUUGAGCUAUGUCAUGUAUCUCUGUAACAUUUCUUCUCCCCUAAUAUAAUGAAAGCAGAGCUGCUGCUCUUCGUAAAAAAAGAAGGGAGUUUGCUUGACUGAAUUCAGUGGAUCAUGAUGUUUCAAGUUGCAUAUCCUUUCCUUAGAAAAUGGAAUGAUAAAUGCGAUGGAGAUGACCAGUUUGUGUGAUGGAAAAGGACCCUUUAUGAAUCUGCAGAUGGCAUAGCAUCUUUGACACAUGAAAUUGGUGUUGCAUUUUCUUAAUUCCAAGUAUGUGGAAGCUGAAGGCCAAUCAGAACUUCACCGUUGUUCAGAUUAUUUUCAGUCUGUGGGCAGUUUCCUAUUUUCAAAAAUCUUGUUCCAUGCUGUAAUGAUUCCCAAUAGGCACCAGUGAUGAAU
This is a long non-coding RNA of Triticum aestivum (bread wheat), 2151 nucleotides long. RefSeq lists it as uncharacterized. The transcript has 4 exons. The record is from RefSeq and is a predicted model, not a curated record. Lineage: Eukaryota; Viridiplantae; Streptophyta; Magnoliopsida; Poales; Poaceae.